This 391-nucleotide unclassified non-coding RNA is filed under the name soil metagenome. RNAcentral describes it as "partial contains 5.8S ribosomal RNA, internal transcribed spacer 2, and large subunit ribosomal RNA". The stretch from base 1 to 122 matches the Rfam family "5.8S ribosomal RNA", at positions 35 to 154 of the family's 154-position model. The record is from RNAcentral.
GAUGAAGAACGUAGCGAAAUGCGAUACUUGGUGUGAAUUGCAGAAUCCCGUGAACCAUCGAGUCUUUGAACGCAAGUUGCGCCCGAAGCCAUUAGGCCGAGGGCACGCCUGCCUGGGCGUCACACGUCGUUGCCCCCCCAUCUAAUCCUUCGGGAUUGCGGGGGGCGGAUGAUGGCCUCCCGUGCGCCUCGUCGCGCGGUUGGCAUAAAUGCCAAGUCCUCGGCGACGCACGCCACGACAAUCGGUGGUUGCGAAACCUCGGUUGCCCGUUGUGUGCGGUCGUCGCGCAUCGAGGGCUCGAAAAAAUUGCCGGGCUCCGGCUCGACUUUCAACGCAACCCCAGGUCAGGCGGGGUUACCCGCUGAAUUUAAGCAUAUCAAUAAGCGGAGGA